GCAGGUGGUGGAGGAGGUCCAGAUGUCCGAAUCUGUGGUGAACAUGAAUUGGGGCAGGUGGUUGAGGAAGCCACGUUAGGGAGUGGCGGAGGAGGAGGGGAAGCUGAAGAUGAAUUAUUUACGGUAGAAAAUGGAGAUAUAGCUGAGAAUGGAGGGAGUGGGGGAGGGGGAGGGGGAGCUGAAAACGAAUUCUUUACAGAAGAAGAUGGAGAUGUAGCUGAGGAUGGAGGGAGUGGUGGUGGGGGAGGGGGAGACUGGCACAAGUUCUCGACUUUGGG
Molecule: long non-coding RNA, 278 nt
Filed under: Gossypium barbadense (sea-island cotton)
Lineage: Eukaryota; Viridiplantae; Streptophyta; Magnoliopsida; Malvales; Malvaceae
Description: long non-coding RNA (GBAR_LNC003634)
Source: RNAcentral